RNAcentral lists this ribosomal RNA (504 nucleotides) under uncultured bacterium. RNAcentral's name for it is "partial 16S ribosomal RNA". It matches the Rfam family "Bacterial small subunit ribosomal RNA", at positions 28 to 523 of the family's 1533-position model. The record is from RNAcentral.
GAUGAACGCUAGCUACAGGCUUAACACAUGCAAGUCGAGGGGCAGCAUAAAUCUAGCAAUAGAUUUGAUGGUGACCGGCGCACGGGUGAGUAACACGUAUCCAACCUACCUAUUACUCGGGUAUAGCCUUUCGAAAGAAAGAUUAAUCCCCGAUACGAUAUUGAGUUCGCAUGAAUUUGAUAUGAAAGAUUUAUUGGUAUUAGAUGGGGAUGCGUUCCAUUAGAUUGUUGGUGAGGUAACGGCUCACCAAGUCUUCGAUGGACAGGGGUUCUGAGAGGAAGGUCCCCCACACUGGAACUGAGACACGGUCCAGACUCCUACGGGAGGCAGCAGUGAGGAAUAUUGGUCAAUGGGCGAGAGCCUGAACCAGCCAAGUAGCGUGAGGGAUGACUGCCCUAUGGGUUGUAAACCUCUUUUAUAAGGGAAUAAAACGCUCCACGAGUGGAGCUUUGCAUGUACCUUUUGAAUAAGGAUCGGCUAACUCCGUGCCAGCCGCCGCAGUAA